AACGAACGCUGGCGGCAGGCCUAACACAUGCAAGUCGAACGCUCGUAGCAAUACGGGAGUGGCAGACGGGUGAGUAACGCGUGGGAAUCUACCCAGUGGUACGGAAUAACUCAGGGAAACUUGAGCUAAUACCGUAUGAGCCCCGAGGGGGAAAGAUUUAUCGCCAUUGGAUGAGCCCGCGUCGGAUUAGCUAGUUGGUGGGGUAAUGGCCUACCAAGGCAACGAUCCGUAGCUGGUCUGAGAGGAUGAUCAGCCACAUUGGGACUGAGACACGGCCCAAACUCCUACGGGAGGCAGCAGUGGGGAAUAUUGGACAAUGGGCGCAAGCCUGAUCCAGCCAUGCCGCGUGAGUGAUGAAGGCCCUAGGGUUGUAAAGCUCUUUCGGCGGGGACGAUAAUGACGGUACCCGCAGAAGAAGCCCCGGCUAACUUCGUG
Molecule: ribosomal RNA, 435 nt
Filed under: uncultured bacterium
Lineage: Bacteria
Description: bacterial SSU rRNA
Rfam family: Bacterial small subunit ribosomal RNA
Source: RNAcentral